Rosa chinensis is the source of this 1496-nucleotide RNA transcript. It is a transcript of the gene named polynucleotide 3'-phosphatase ZDP-like, with no coding region annotated. The transcript is spliced from 5 exons. Lineage: Eukaryota; Viridiplantae; Streptophyta; Magnoliopsida; Rosales; Rosaceae. The record is from RefSeq and is a predicted model, not a curated record.
UAGGAAACAGUUAUUUCAUUGUCUGACCGGCGUCAGGAGCUGCUCGUAGAUCGGCGCGGCCUCCGAGAGAGGCAAACGGCGGGCCUGAUUGGCGUGGUGGUUGACCAUUGUAUUUGGGAUUAUGGUGAGGUAUAGGUUGGUUCUGUGUUGGUGAGGAGGUCGAAGAAAUUAAUUGAGAGAAUCAUGGCCAUAGGAUUGACUAUUGAGAAACCGGGUAACCUGUGAAACCUGAAGGAAGAGUCUGUUCCGACAAAGUAAAAUUCAUGGAUCGGAGUAAAAGGAGUAGAGAGAGUGAGACUUUUGGAAGAGAAGAGUGGGAGCUUGCUGGCGAAGCAGAUUGGAUUAGAUAAAUCUCAAAUACGAUCGACAAACAGACGCACUCUUUCUCAGACCCCCAAUUUUUGUGUCUAUUCGCAGCAGCAGCUAGCCGAGUUAUUUGAUAAAAGAAGACAUGAAUUUGGAGCAUGCUAGUUCCGGAGACGGAAGAUUGAACAUACUAGGUUGAAGGUUUCUAAUGCAGCAACAACAAUCUUUUGCAGGAAGUGAUGGUGUAUUUUCUUGGGAUGCAACUUCUGAUCUUAAGUGCGUCUUUUCGAUUUAGUUUAUACAAUGAAUUGAUAUUUUCUGCUGUUUCUGUGAUGGAGAGUUUUUAUGAGUUAUGACCAACAUUCUUUCUGUUUAUCUUUUGUUGCAGACUUGGACUCCUAAAGACUUGUUAAACAAGCUUUUAGUAUGAAUUCUUUUAGUUCUUAUCAUCAACUUGAUCAUUCUGUAUUUUACUUGCAGGUAUCUAACCUGGAAAUAUCCUUUAUUUUCAGUGUCUGAUGUGAAGGACAAGUACAAGCUUGUGGGACGAGUCAAGGAGAAGACCCCUUUCGCAAACCCAAACCGGGGUUGUGGCAUAUGUUGGAACAACACUUCAACUCUGGCAUUUCCAUUGGUAUGAAACAAUCUUUUUAUGUUGGUGAUGCUGCUGGAAGAAGCAAUGAUCACAGUGAUGCUGUCUUAAGUUUGCAGAGUUCUGUUGUCAGAGUUUUGGACUAACUGAUCACCUGUCAGAAUUUAAUUGAAAAAUGCUUCAAGUGGGUUCUCAUCAUAUGUGCUGAUUGGGAAUUACUUUAUUAUUCUCAGCCUCUUAUAAAUUUAAGAAGCUUCUAUGCUUACAGUUUUUUCUUUUGCAGGCCAAUGGUUUAAAGUUUUAUGUCCCAGAGGAUUUCUUUGAAGCUUGAGGAACUUUACGGUCAUCAAAAUAUCAAAUCGUACUAGGAAAUUCAGUGUCACGUUGGUAUUCAACAUGGUUCUUUUCUAGCAGGUGAUUUUGAUAUAGACAGCCCCCUUUGUAAAGGAAAUUGUGUAUUGGCUAUUAAGCCCCCUUUUCAAGCUCUUGCCAGUAGGUUAGUUAUCUUUGCAGUGUGUCUAGGAAUUUCACAUAUGUUUUUGAAUACAUAACUCUUAGGAUAAUGAAUAAAAUCGGGAUGUUGAAGGGUUUUCCCUCU